CUACGGGGGGCACCAGUGGGGAAUAUUGCACAAUGGGCGAAAGCCUGAUGCAGCAACGCCGCGUGAGUGAAGAAGGUCUUCGGAUCGUAAAACUCUGUCCUCAAGGAAGAAUAAUGACGGUACUUGAGGAGGAAGCCCCGGCUAACUACGUGCGCAGCAGCCGCGGUAAUACGUAGGGGGCAAGCGUUAUCCGGAAUCACUGGGCGUAAAGGGUGCGUAGGCGGUUACGCAAGUCAGGAGUGAAAGGCUAUGGCUCAACCAUAGUGAGCUCUUGAAACUGUGUAACUUGAGUACAGGAGAGGAAAGUGGAAUUCCUAGUGUAGUGGUGAAAUGCGUAGAUAUUAGGAGGAACACCAGUGGCGAAGGCGACUUUCUGGACUGUAACUGACGCUGAGGCACGAAAGCGUGGGGAGCGAACAGGAUUAGAUACCCUCGUAGUC
This 440-nucleotide ribosomal RNA is filed under the name uncultured bacterium. Its description in RNAcentral is "partial 16S ribosomal RNA". It matches the Rfam family "Bacterial small subunit ribosomal RNA", at positions 339 to 795 of the family's 1533-position model. The record is from RNAcentral.